AUUGAACGCUGGCGGCAUGCUUUACACAUGCAAGUCGAACGGUAACAGGUUAAGCUGACGAGUGGCGAACGGGUGAGUAAUGCAUCGGAACGUGCCCGGUCGUGGGGGAUAACGCAGCGAAAGCUGCGCUAAUACCGCAUACGAUCUGAGGAUGAAAGCGGGGGACCGUAAGGCCUCGCGCGAUCGGAGCGGCCGAUGUCAGAUUAGGUAGUUGGUGGGGUAAAGGCUCACCAAGCCAACGAUCUGUAGCUGGUCUGAGAGGAGGACCAGCCACCGUGGGACUUAGAAACGGCCCAGACUCCGACGGGAGGCAGCAGUGGGGAAUGUUGAACAAUGGGCGAAAGCCUGAUCCAGCAAUGCCGCGUGCAGGAAGAAGGCCUUCGGGUUGUAAGCUGCUUUUGUACGGAGCGAAAAGGUCUCCUCUAAUACAGGGGGCUCAUGACGGUACCGUAAGAAUAAGCACCGGCUAACUACGUGCCAGCAGCCGCGGUAA
RNAcentral lists this ribosomal RNA (493 nucleotides) under uncultured bacterium. RNAcentral describes it as "partial 16S ribosomal RNA". It matches the Rfam family "Bacterial small subunit ribosomal RNA", at positions 29 to 523 of the family's 1533-position model. The record is from RNAcentral.